Molecule: non-coding RNA, 108 nt
Organism: Amniculicola lignicola CBS 123094
Lineage: Eukaryota; Fungi; Ascomycota; Dothideomycetes; Pleosporales; Amniculicolaceae
Source: the annotation of a GenBank genome assembly
GGGCACAUGGUCUAGUUGGUUAUGACGCCCACAAUCACGAGACGUCAGAUAGGCGGCUUUAAAAAUGUGAAGCGUGGGAGAGCUAGGUUCAAAUCCUUUGUGUGUCCA